UACGUAGGGCGCAAGCGUUAUCCGGAAUUAUUGGGCGUAAAGAGCUCGUAGGCGGUUUGUCGCGUCUGCUGUGAAAGACCGGGGCUCAACUCCGGUUCUGCAGUGGGUACGGGCAGACUAGAGUGAUGUAGGGGAGACUGGAAUUCCUGGUGUAGCGGUGAAAUGCGCAGAUAUCAGGAGGAACACCGGUGGCGAAGGCGGGUCUCUGGGCCGUAACUGACGCUGAGGAGCGAAAGCGUGGGGAGCGAACAGG
RNAcentral lists this ribosomal RNA (253 nucleotides) under uncultured bacterium. RNAcentral describes it as "partial 16S ribosomal RNA". It matches the Rfam family "Bacterial small subunit ribosomal RNA", at positions 524 to 776 of the family's 1533-position model. The record is from RNAcentral.